AGAGUUUGAUCAUGGCUCAGAGCGAACGCUGGCGGCAGGCUUAACACAUGCAAGUCGAGCGGGCGUAGCAAUACGUCAGCGGCAGACGGGUGAGUAACGCGUGGGAACAUACCUUUUGGUUCGGAACAACACAGGGAAACUUGUGCUAAUACCGGAUAAGCCCUUACGGGGAAAGAUUUAUCGCCGAAAGAUUGGCCCGCGUCUGAUUAGCUAGUUGGUGAGGUAAUGGCUCACCAAGGCGACGAUCAGUAGCUGGUCUGAGAGGAUGAUCAGCCACAUUGGGACUGAGACACGGCCCAAACUCCUACGGGAGGCAGCAGUGGGGAAUAUUGGACAAUGGGCGCAAGCCUGAUCCAGCCAUGCCGCGUGAGUGAUGAAGGCCCUAGGGUUGUAAAGCUCUUUUGUGCGGGAAGAUAAUGACGGUACCGCAAGAAUAAGCCCCGGCUAACUUCGUGCCAGCAGCCGCGGUA
This 470-nucleotide ribosomal RNA is filed under the name uncultured Pseudomonadota bacterium. RNAcentral's name for it is "bacterial SSU rRNA". It matches the Rfam family "Bacterial small subunit ribosomal RNA", at positions 8 to 522 of the family's 1533-position model. The record is from RNAcentral. Lineage: Bacteria; Pseudomonadati; Pseudomonadota.